This is a small nuclear RNA of Suricata suricatta (meerkat), 102 nucleotides long. Lineage: Eukaryota; Metazoa; Chordata; Mammalia; Carnivora; Herpestidae. The record is from Ensembl.
CUGCUUUGGCAGCAUGCAUAGUAAAAUUAGAACAAUACAGAGAAGAUUAGCAUGACCGGUGAGCAAGAUGACAUGCAAAUUCGUGAAGCGUUCCCUAUUUUU